CACGUAGGGGGCGAGCGUUGUCCGGAUUUAUUGGGCGUAAAGCGCGCGUAGGCGGCCGCGCAAGUCGGAUGUGAAAACCCGGGGCUCAACCCCGGACUUGCAGUGGGUACGGGCAGACUAGAGUGUGGUAGGGGAGACUGGAAUUCCUGGUGUAGCGGUGAAAUGCGCAGAUAUCAGGAGGAACACCGAUGGCGAAGGCAGGUCUCUGGGCCAUUACUGACACUGAGAAGCGAAAGCAUGGGGAGCGAACAGG
This 253-nucleotide ribosomal RNA is filed under the name uncultured bacterium. RNAcentral describes it as "partial 16S ribosomal RNA". It matches the Rfam family "Bacterial small subunit ribosomal RNA", at positions 524 to 776 of the family's 1533-position model. The record is from RNAcentral.